Molecule: unclassified non-coding RNA, 310 nt
Filed under: Hevea brasiliensis (rubber tree)
Lineage: Eukaryota; Viridiplantae; Streptophyta; Magnoliopsida; Malpighiales; Euphorbiaceae
Source: RNAcentral
GUGGGGUGAAUCAUCUAGGUCGACGGAAUGAAGUGUGGUUUCCUUCAGGUUUAGUUCGUAAUGCAGGGGAAUAUUCUGGAUGGCAGGGGCAGAGGGGCUCCAACAGCUUUGAUGACUCCAAAAGGCACUCUUUUCUUGAAGAACUGAAGUCGAGCAAUGCACGGAAGUUUGAGCUUUCUGAUAUUGCCGGGCGUAUUGUUGAAUUCAGUGUUGAUCAACAUGGGAGUCGCUUUAUUCAACAGAAGCUCGAGCACUGCAGUCCUGAAGAGAAGGCAUCCGUGUUUAAAGAAGUUCUUCCACAUGCCUCUAA